This 558-nucleotide ribosomal RNA is filed under the name Dichrometra palmata. RNAcentral's name for it is "partial large subunit ribosomal RNA". It matches the Rfam family "Bacterial large subunit ribosomal RNA", at positions 1812 to 2604 of the family's 2925-position model. Lineage: Eukaryota; Metazoa; Echinodermata; Crinoidea; Comatulida; Mariametridae. The record is from RNAcentral.
AACAUCGCUCUUUGAAAAAAUAAUUAUAAAGAGUACUGCCUGCCCAGUGAUAAAAUUUAAACGGCCGCGGUAUUUUGACCGUGCAAAGGUAGCAUAAUCAUUUGUUCUUUAAUUGAGGACUAGUAUGAAAGGCAAAACGAAAGCUUAACUGUCUCCUUUUUAAAAAAUGAAAUUAGUAUUUUUGUGAAGAAACAAAAAUAAUAAAGUAAGACGAGAAGACCCUGUCGAGCUUAAGAAAAUUUUUAUAAUAAUUUUUUAACAAGAUAAACAAAACUUUACUAUAAAAAUAAAAUAAAAAUAUCUUUGGUUGGGGCAACCACGAAGAAAAAAAAACCUUCGUUUUUAAAGAAAAAUUUACAAAUUUAAAAAUUAUUAAAAAUUUAAAAGAUCCAGAAAAUUCUGAUCAAAGAAAAAAGUUACCGCAGGGAUAACAGCGUUAUUCUCUUUAAGAGCUCUUAUUGACAAGAGAGUUUGCGACCUCGAUGUUGGACCGGGGCACCCAAGAGGUGUAGCAGCCUCUAAAGGUAGGUCUGUUCGACCUUUAAAGCCCUACGUGAU